CUACUGAUCCCAUCCACCUGCCUGUUUUCUGCAAAACCAAGUAGAAAGUCAGUCAGUUGGGUGAUGUGAUGACUUUUGCAGGCCAGGAAAUGAGCUGUGGUAUUAGACUGCCUGGUGUCUCAGCUCAAAGGCAUCUCUAUCUCCGGCUGAAAAUCAGGGUUGAACAAAGGAGCAGCCUGAGAAAGAGGCACAAUCAUGAUGUUUGAAAAACUCCAGACUCUGUAGUUCAGAACAGUCACAUUCUGCAGUGCAAGGAGAGCAGGAAUAGAAGGUAAGGAAGGAUAUGGAAGGAAGAGGAUAUGGAUGGAUUUCUGCUCUUCAUGCUAUCUGGCUUCUUCUGAGUCUCUGUAAAAUCUCCGUGUGAAGUGGAUGUCUGGAGUGGCUCCAGACCAUGGUGAAAGGAUGGCUGGGCCCCAUCUGCCCCCCUUCACUGCUGCCCUGGGACUGGCAUUGCUUGGUGUCCUGGUCUUCCUCUCAGCCCUGUGUGCUGCCUGCAGAAGGAAAGCUAGGAAGAAGGUGGUCCCACCAGAUGGGGUGAAGCUGGUAGAUGUGUCGUUGCUGAGGCAGACGCAGCUCCGAUCGCUCAGUAAAUCUGACACCAAACUGCAUGAACUCCACAGGGUGAAGUGCACUUCUGAGCACCAAAGACCAGCCAGCGUGGAUUUCCUUUAUCCAUCAGGGUCUUUGGGGGAUGGAGAAGGAGCUGUGCAUAGCUCGAGCUUCAGCAUCCUGCUGCACCGAGAGCUGCCCCAGAUCCCCCAUUCCAACCCUUCGGCUGAUGCCCUGAGUCCUGACCAGACCUACUCAAACCUGUCCUUCUUAGCCCCACUAAAACCAGCCCCGGAGGCGCUGUAUGAGUGUGCGGCCAUGACUCAGGAAGAGCCUCAGCCAAUGCCUGUCUUGGGAACCCCUCUAAGUGAGGAGGACAAGGCAGUGACGGCUGAGUACGCCUGUGUCCGCAAGGUGAAGAAGAAUUUCCAGCCAGAGCUCCAGGAUGAGACACAGGGCGAAUCCUCCGUGGGGACGGCAGACCCAGAAGCCUGGGAAGGAGCUGCCUGUAACCCUGCAGCGGUGAAGGUGUGCCACCCUCCCAGCCAUACUGGUAGAAGAAAUGUACUCGACUGUGUGCAAAGCUGGCAAGAAGAAGAAACACCAAGGCUCUGCUCUGUCCCCUUCUGAAGGAAUGGACACUAGGGAGACAGGCCAAGGAGAACAGGGGUGGCCAGCUGCCCAUCUCAGAGAUGUCAGGGCGGGGUAUCAGUCCACACCGGGUCGAGUCUUACUCACUGAGCCCUGCUAUGAGUCGAUCAGUGAUGGAUCCUGGACUGAGCAUGGCAGGAACCCAGUCCCAGAACCGGCCUACGAGGCAGUAGAUGUCAACUGGAAAAAGCCCAAGAGAAGGGAUAAGUCUACCAAGAACUGCCCUGCCGAGAACUUGUAUGAAAGCAUCAGUGAAAUGUGGGAAGGGGACUCUAGGAACACAGCUACCCUGGCGGCUCCCAAUGGGUUGGAGAUAUACGUAACAGACUGAUAACCCCUUAUGUCUAGCUGCCCCCUUCCUGGGAAGGUCUGUGCUCCUCCACUGAGACCUCCAGCUGUCUCAGGUCUCAGCCACAUGGCGAGGCACAACAAGAACAUCCAACACCACAACAGUAAAUACUAAAAACAUCAACCCGCUCUAAACCCUCCUGCCUCAGGUCUCAGGCCAGCCUGUCACUAACAGGAGUUAAACUUUCCCUGCGGGCUGGGUAUCCCAAUGCUCCUUCUGCAGAACGCCUCACACCUUCCUCUGAAGCAGCUGGUGCUGGGUGUUGUCCGAGGCAGUUCACUGGACUCGGUGGACCUAUGGUGGCCUGAACUACAGGCAAAAGAAUUGAGUAAUUCUAAUGGGUUUGGCAUUGGUUGAGGGUUGUGCCCAUUCUAGGGGGCACAGACACCCAGAUCAGGUGCCUCUCUUCCCUGAGUCUUUAUGCAGGGUCCAGUAAAGCUGGGCACAGAAACCUAGGUAAGGAAAGGGGCAGCUGAGUUAAUAAAGAGGAAUCUCCCGUAUGUAUUUUAAUCCUG
RNAcentral lists this long non-coding RNA (2064 nucleotides) under Gopherus agassizii (Agassiz's desert tortoise). RNAcentral's name for it is "lncRNA (ENSGAGG00000019516.1)". Lineage: Eukaryota; Metazoa; Chordata; Testudines; Testudinidae. The record is from RNAcentral.